CGUUGUGGAGUCCGUUUCCCUUUGUCUUCUUACAGAUCUUGGUGCCCGAGGAGAGGCCGGGAGAGACUCCCGCCUUGCGGGGUGGCCCCAGGCGGUGCCUGCGCUCUCGGACCUCCAUGCUCAGGGGUGUAAAAGCAGCCCAGGCCCACCUGCCAGCCCUGUGUGGCCCGCAGGGACAGACACUCGGCAGGAGGCAGCUGGGACCCCCGGGCCUUUCCCUGUCACAGACUGGAGGCUCAGGUGUUGUUCGAAUUUCUCAGAGGUCAGAUCUUCCCAGAGCGACUGCGUCUUCCUGUGAAAGAGCCUCUGUCCACUCUGCGAAGGUGCCGAGGAGAGGUGCUGCCAUUUGCUCCCACAGCUCUCCUGAAGGCAGGGGACGUGCUGGUCACAAAUGCGACCUGCAGCACCGCCUCCAGAGCUCAGCCCUGAGAUCGUGCACACGAGGACAAGGACACACUUACUCCUCAGAGGUGACAUGCUGGGUGCAGAGUAGGGAACCCUGCAGGUCCCCAGCCAGGCUGAGCACGUCGUCCCCUUGUCCCUACACUGCUGGCUCUGUCCUGCCUACUCUGCCUCAAAAAAGGCAGGCGGAGUGUGGAAAAGCAUAGACUCACCCUCAGGAAUCGAUUUCUUGGGCCAGAUAUCCUAAAUGUUUGUUUCAAUAGCCAUUGUUUCCUCGAUAUGACACCAUGGCCACUUGCCUCUGAAGGGAGUCAUUCAGAAGGCAAACCUCUCAUCGCAAGGUACACGUACGUGGAGCUGCAGUGAAAUUUCUGCUCAAGAAGCGCGAAUGGGUGAUGUCCGAGCUUUCCGUGAUGACAAAUAGCCCACUGCAGCACGUGUCCAUUGGUUCACCACCACUGGCCGGGAUCAAACCCUCUCUGAAUGGCAGGAGAUGGAACUGAGCCCUGUGCUGUGCCUUCCACAUCCGCUCUGUCCUGCAUCCCCGAGAGGAAAAGGGUGAGGUAAGCUUCAGAAAUCUUAUUUAUAGCAUUGGAAUUGCAAAAGUUAAUUAUUUAGCUGACUUUUAAAAAAUAUAGGAAGAAAAAUAGCUGAGAUAACUGAGUAUCUGCCUCUCUUUAACUUGAUUCUUGCCUUAAACAAGCAAAACACUCUUAGUCGAGGUCUGAUUCAUGCUGGAAAGUUAAAUUGAUUUUUUCCAAGUGAAGAUCAUGUACAUCAAGAAAAGCCACCUCAUCAGCCCUUGCAGUCCCUUGGUGUCCACUUCCAUCAUCACUGUCCCUCCUCCUAUGAUGUCCACUUCCAUCACCACCAUCCCUUCCUCCCCACCCC
RNAcentral lists this long non-coding RNA (1293 nucleotides) under Fukomys damarensis (Damara mole-rat). RNAcentral's name for it is "lncRNA (ENSFDAG00000028480.1)". The record is from RNAcentral. Lineage: Eukaryota; Metazoa; Chordata; Mammalia; Rodentia; Bathyergidae.